AAAUUAAUCAGCUUGAUGGAAGUAAGAAUAAACAAAACUUUACAGCCAUUCAAAAUCAAGAUGGGCAUCAACUUUACACAUACUUCAUGGAGAAGAAGCCUGUACCAUGUGGAGAGAAUGGAGAACAUGAUGUCUCAUCUUCGAAGAGUAUAUGCAAGUGAGGAUUAUUCCAUCACAUCCUGACGUGCGGAUUACCAAAAGCUGUGAGGAGCCAGAUGGAAAGCCACAGAGCACAGAGUUUGGCCGUUUUUGUAACCAUCGACACUUCUGAUGAAUGAUGAAUACAGCAAAUUGAUGUGAAAUAUGUCUAGAGGAGAGCAGUUCACCUGUGUACCUACUGGGAGAGCUCCUGGUGAGUUGGACUGAAGCCUUGUAUCAGACCGGACAGCCCUGGGUGAGUUGCGUCAAUU
Molecule: long non-coding RNA, 410 nt
Organism: Hypanus sabinus (Atlantic stingray)
Lineage: Eukaryota; Metazoa; Chordata; Chondrichthyes; Myliobatiformes; Dasyatidae
Exons: 3
Source: RefSeq, a predicted model, not a curated record